Molecule: ribosomal RNA, 332 nt
Filed under: uncultured soil bacterium
Lineage: Bacteria
Description: bacterial SSU rRNA
Rfam family: Bacterial small subunit ribosomal RNA
Source: RNAcentral
AGAUUGAACGCUAGCGGGGAUGCCUUACACAUGCAAGUCGAACGGCAGCACGGACUUCGGUCUGGUGGCGAGUGGCGAACGGGUGAGUAAUAUAUCGGAACGUGCCCAGUAGCGGGGGAUAACUACGCGAAAGCGUAGCUAAUACCGCAUACGCCCUUAGGGGGAAAGCAGGGGAUCGCAAGACCUUACACUAUUGGAGCGGCCGAUAUCGGAUUAGCUAGUUGGUGGGGUAAAGGCUCACCAAGGCUUCGAUCCGUAGCUGGUUUGAGAGGACGACCAGCCACACUGGGACUGAGACACGGCCCAGACUCCUACGGGAGGCAGCAGUGGGG